Molecule: ribosomal RNA, 496 nt
Filed under: uncultured bacterium
Lineage: Bacteria
Description: partial 16S ribosomal RNA
Rfam family: Bacterial small subunit ribosomal RNA
Source: RNAcentral
AUGAACGCUGGCGGCGUGCCUUAUACAUGCAAGUCGAGCGAACAGAUGAGGAGCUUGCUCCUCUGACGUUAGCGGCGGACGGGUGAGUAACACGUGGAUAACCUACCUAUAAGACUGGGAUAACUUCGGGAAACCGGAGCUAAUACCGGAUAAUAUAUUGAACCGCAUGGUUCAAUAGUGAAAGACGGUUUUGCUGUCACUUAUAGAUGGAUCCGCGCCGCAUUAGCUAGUUGGUAAGGUAACGGCUUACCAAGGCCACGAUGCGUAGCCGACCUGAGAGGGUGAUCGGCCACACUGGAACUGAGACACGGUCCAGACUCCUACGGGAGGCAGCAGUAGGGAAUCUUCCGCAAUGGGCGAAAGCCUGACGGAGCAACGCCGCGUGAGUGAUGAAGGUCUUCGGAUCGUAAAACUCUGUUAUUAGGGAAGAACAAAUGUGUAAGUAACUAUGCACGUCUUGACGGUACCUAAUCAGAAAGCCACGGCUAACUACGUG